GACGAACGCUGGCGGCGUGCUUAACACAUGCAAGUCGAACGGUAAGGCUCCAGCUUGCUGGGGUACACGAGUGGCGAACGGGUGAGUAACACGUGGGUGACCUGCCCUGCACUUCGGGAUAAGCCUGGGAAACUGGGUCUAAUACCGGAUAGGACCAUGGUGUGGAUACUGUGGUGGAAAGUUUUUUCGGUGUGGGAUGGGCCCGCGGCCUAUCAGCUUGUUGGUGGGGUAAUGGCCUACCAAGGCGGCGACGGGUAGCCGGCCUGAGAGGGUGGACGGCCACAUUGGGACUGAGACACGGCCCAGACUCCUACGGGAGGCAGCAGUGGGGAAUAUUGCACAAUGGGCGGAAGCCUGAUGCAGCGACGCCGCGUGGGGGAUGACGUCCUUCGGGUUGUAAACUCCUUUCACCAUCGACGAAGGGUUUCUGACGGUAGAUGGAGAAGAAGCACCGGCUAACUACGUG
This 466-nucleotide ribosomal RNA is filed under the name uncultured bacterium. Its description in RNAcentral is "partial 16S ribosomal RNA". It matches the Rfam family "Bacterial small subunit ribosomal RNA", at positions 28 to 507 of the family's 1533-position model. The record is from RNAcentral.